CCUACGGGAGGCAGCAGUGGGGAAUAUUGGACAAUGGGGGCAACCCUGAUCCAGCCAUGCCGCGUGUGUGAAGAAGGCCCUCGGGUUGUAAAGCACUUUCAGUGAGGAAGAACGCCUGGUGGUUAAUACCCAUCAGGAAAGACAUCACUCACAGAAGAAGCACCGGCUAACUCCGUGCCAGCAGCCGCGGUAAUACGGAGGGUGCGAGCGUUAAUCGGAAUUACUGGGCGUAAAGCGCGCGUAGGUGGCUUGAUAAGCCGGUUGUGAAAGCCCCGGGCUCAACCUGGGAACGGCAUCCGGAACUGUCAAGCUAAAGUGCAGGAGAGGAAGGUAGAAUUCCCGGUGUAGCGGGGAAAUGCGUAGAGAUCGGGAGGAAUACCAGUGGCGAAGGCGGCCUUCUGGACUGACACUGACACUGAGGUGCGAAAGCGUGGGUAGCAAACAGGAUUAGAUACCCUAGUAGUC
Molecule: ribosomal RNA, 465 nt
Filed under: Vreelandella stevensii
Lineage: Bacteria; Pseudomonadati; Pseudomonadota; Gammaproteobacteria; Oceanospirillales; Halomonadaceae
Description: partial 16S ribosomal RNA
Rfam family: Bacterial small subunit ribosomal RNA
Source: RNAcentral